CAGAGUAGAAAGCUAUGCGUGAAGUGUCAGCGGGACGGGGAGUUGCCGGCUGAACGAAAGAUUUCAUAAUGAAAUUUGCGGUAUAGCUUUCGCAUCCCGCUG
Molecule: non-coding RNA, 102 nt
Filed under: pig gut metagenome
Description: THF riboswitch
Rfam family: THF (Tetrahydrofolate) riboswitch aptamer
About the family: THF riboswitch presents a pseudoknot that joins P1-P2 and the loop of P3 and two THF binding.
Source: RNAcentral